AGAUACCCUAUUAUUUUAAGCUAUAUAUUGGUAGUAAUUAAUAAUUUAUGAAAUCAUAAGAUUUUGGCGGUAUUUUAAGCUUAUUAGAGGAAUUUGCUCUGUAAUGGAUACAACGCCUUAAUCUUACUUAAUUUGGUUUAAAAGUCAGUUUGUAUACCACUAUAUUUAAUUAUAUUGAAUAAUUAUAUUUAAGAUUUUUUUUUAUAAAAAAUAUAUUAAGUCAAGGUGCAAUUUAUAAUUAUGAAUGAAGUGAAUUACAUUAAUUUUAAUUUUACUUAAAUAUUGAAAAAAAAAUUAUAGGAUUUAAUAGUAAAAUG
This 317-nucleotide ribosomal RNA is filed under the name Ixodes affinis. RNAcentral's name for it is "partial 12S ribosomal RNA". The record is from RNAcentral. Lineage: Eukaryota; Metazoa; Arthropoda; Arachnida; Ixodida; Ixodidae.